GACGUAGGGCGCGAGCGUUGUCCGGAUUUAUUGGGCGUAAAGAGCUCGUAGGCGGCUUGUCGCGUCGACUGUGAAAACCCGCGGCUCAACCGCGGCCUGCAGCCGAUACGGGCAGGCUAGAGUUCGGUAGGGGAGACUGGAAUUCCUGGUGUAGCGGUGAAAUGCGCAGAUAUCAGGAGGAACACCGAUGGCGAAGGCAGGUCUCUGGGCCGAUACUGACGCUGAGGAGCGAAAGCGUGGGGAGCGAACAGG
Molecule: ribosomal RNA, 252 nt
Filed under: uncultured bacterium
Lineage: Bacteria
Description: partial 16S ribosomal RNA
Rfam family: Bacterial small subunit ribosomal RNA
Source: RNAcentral